Molecule: long non-coding RNA, 571 nt
Organism: Vigna angularis (adzuki bean)
Lineage: Eukaryota; Viridiplantae; Streptophyta; Magnoliopsida; Fabales; Fabaceae
Exons: 3
Source: RefSeq, a predicted model, not a curated record
GAACAUUAUAUUUGCCAAGACUGUUGGAACCAGAAUCAGAGCCAUUAAAGGAAGCAAUUGCUUCUACAUUCUACAUGCACCACCCUAUCUUGGACAUGGUCUUCACUAUUUUAAUUGAUAUUGCCGAAGUCUUUCAAAGUAUCACAAUCUUUCUUUCACCAAAAAAAUAUAAUGAUCCUUCUAUCAGAAGAGCCAUAACAAACACCAUCCAAUAUUUGCUGUCAAGAAGCAAAGUCCUUAGUAACAACCACAUGACCAAUAAUCAUGUACCAUGAGUAAGAAUUGAUUUGUACAUGCAAUUUGUUGUGAUAUGCAUCCCUUCUUCAAUGAACAAGAACUAAUGGACCAAAAAUGCUAAAAAAUUAAUAAUUAAAUUAACAUAUAUGAAAAAACUAAAGUAAAAAAAUAAAACGCAGUACAAAAAGUCCUCUAUUUGAUUAGUUGAUGUGUAACAAAAUCAUCAAAUUGAUGAUACAAGUACAUUAAGAUAAGACAAAUAAUCUUUCGAACACUUCAGCUACGUGUUCCUUUUGUUUGGAACAUUUUGUGUGAUUAUAAUAGGAGUUUUGCA